GAUGAACGCUGACAGAAUGCUUAACACAUGCAAGUCCACUUGAACUUCGGUUUGGGUGGCGGACGGGUGAGUAACGCGUAAAGAACUUGCCUCACAGAUAGGGACAACAUUUGGAAACGAAUGCUAAUACCUGAUAUUAUGAUUUUAGGGCAUCCUAGGAUUAUGAAAGCUAUAUGCGCUGUGGGAGAGCUUUGCGUCCCAUUAGCUAGUUGGAGAGGUAACGGCUCACCAAGGCGAUGAUGGGUAGCCGGCCUGAGAGGGUGAUCGGCCACAAGGGGACUGAGACACGGCCCUUACUCCUACGGGAGGCAGCAGUGGGGAAUAUUGGACAAUGGACCAAGAGUCUGAUCCAGCAAUUCUGUGUGCACGAUGAAGUUUUUCGGAAUGUAAAGUGCUUUCAGUUGGGAAGAAAAAAAUGACGGUACCAACAGAAGAAGUGACGGCUAAAUACGUG
Molecule: ribosomal RNA, 454 nt
Filed under: uncultured bacterium
Lineage: Bacteria
Description: partial 16S ribosomal RNA
Rfam family: Bacterial small subunit ribosomal RNA
Source: RNAcentral